This 196-nucleotide long non-coding RNA is filed under the name Monodelphis domestica (gray short-tailed opossum). RNAcentral describes it as "lncRNA (ENSMODG00000032679.2)". Lineage: Eukaryota; Metazoa; Chordata; Mammalia; Didelphimorphia; Didelphidae. The record is from RNAcentral.
ACGUGGCUACUCUGACGAAUACUGUGAUUCAAGACAGUUCCAAAGGACUCCUGAUGAAAAAACGCGAUCCACCUCAAGAGAGAACUGUUCUAACCAUGGGCUCCAAGAGAAUGAAACCAUUUUGGCCAAUGGACUAAACCAGUUGAGGGUGACCAACAGGUGAGUUCGAAGGAAAUCUACCCCAAGAAUGUGAAGA